Molecule: ribosomal RNA, 550 nt
Filed under: Debaryomyces fabryi
Lineage: Eukaryota; Fungi; Ascomycota; Pichiomycetes; Serinales; Debaryomycetaceae
Description: eukaryotic LSU rRNA
Rfam family: Eukaryotic large subunit ribosomal RNA
Source: RNAcentral
ACCGGUGAGCGAAUCCUCCAAUAAGCUCAAAUCUUGAAAUCUGGCACCUUCGGUGUCCGAGUUGUAAUUUGAAGAAGGUAACUUUGGAGUUGGCUCUUGUCUAUGUUCCUUGGAACAGGACGUCACAGAGGGUGAGAAUCCCGUGCGAUGAGAUGCCCAAUUCUAUGUAAAGUGCUUUCGAAGAGUCGAGUUGUUUGGGAAUGCAGCUCUAAGUGGGUGGUAAAUUCCAUCUAAAGCUAAAUAUUGGCGAGAGACCGAUAGCGAACAAGUACAGUGAUGGAAAGAUGAAAAGAACUUUGAAAAGAGAGUGAAAAAGUACGUGAAAUUGUUGAAAGGGAAGGGCUUGAGAUCAGACUUGGUAUUUUGCGAUCCUUUCCUUCUUGGUUGGGUUCCUCGCAGCUUACUGGGCCAGCAUCGGUUUGGAUGGUAGGAUAAUGACUAAGGAAUGUGGCUCUACUUCGGUGGAGUGUUAUAGCCUUGGUUGAUACUGCCUGUCUAGACCGAGGACUGCGUCUUUGACUAGGAUGCUGGCAUAAUGAUCUUAAGCCAC